CCUACGGGAGGCAGCAGUGGGGAAUAUUGCGCAAUAGGCGAAAGCCUGACGCAGCCAUGACGCGUGUGUGAAGAAGGCCUUCGGGUUGUAAAGCACUUUCAAUUGGGAAGAAAGGUUGCGUGUUAAUAGCACGUAGCUGUGACGUUACCUUCAGAAGAAGCACCGGCUAACUCCGUGCCAGCAGCCGCGGUAAU
RNAcentral lists this ribosomal RNA (194 nucleotides) under uncultured bacterium. RNAcentral's name for it is "partial 16S ribosomal RNA". It matches the Rfam family "Bacterial small subunit ribosomal RNA", at positions 338 to 524 of the family's 1533-position model. The record is from RNAcentral.